Molecule: non-coding RNA, 2106 nt
Organism: Macaca mulatta (Rhesus monkey)
Lineage: Eukaryota; Metazoa; Chordata; Mammalia; Primates; Cercopithecidae
Source: RefSeq, a predicted model, not a curated record
CCCCCCUAAACAUCCCACACCCGCCCCCCUCCAUUCCCCCUCUAAACAUCCCACACCGCAAAACUCAAGCAGCGUUGGCCUGGCUUUGAUUGGGAGUACCCGGCCACAAUGAGGGCUACAGUCUAAUUAUACUUAGAGGAAAUAUUGAUCUUGGUUUCCAUGAUUUAUACUACAGGUCAUUUCCACUUUAAUUUGAGUUACCAAGAAUGGACACAUUAGUGCAGGAUGAAAUUGAAAUGUACUGGGCACUAUAGAAAUUACUUUGGUCUCUGUGGCUUUGUUUUUCACCUCAGAAAUGUGUGUUUUUUUCUUCCUGCCAUUGCAGUUCUAAUUUUGUGUGUUGUGUCUCUGGGAGGAGUGAGGUGGUGCACCUGCUCAUCCUGAUUCAUGAUUUUCUUGUGCCUCUCAGUCUGAGACAGCCCACACCGAUGUGUUUGCAUCGGGUUGAAAGCCAAGAAUUCUGACUCAGACCUGGCGACCCUGGCCUCUCCUUUCUGCAGGCCUUAGAAAGUGAGUGUCUCACCGUAGAACCCAGGGCUUCACAGCCCGUUGCCUUCCCGGAGGAAGCAAAGGCGAGACACGGAAUUCAGUUUGUUCUCCUUUUGGUUGAUCACAUGGGCUCGGAGUCAGUGCACGAUCCACCUACUCUGCCGGCCACCAGGGUUUAAAGACAAAUGCGGUGUUGUCUCUGCUUUGGGGGAAACGAUCAUGUCCUACGGAGACAGCAACAUGAGCGAGGGGUUCCUGUGUGGGGUGCACACCAGGGCCUCCAGGCACAUAGAGAGUGAUGUGACAGCACUGCACUGGAAGCCAGGGGUGAGAGGAUUCUCUGCAGAAAAGGCCCAAGGAGGGGACUUCAAUGCUGAGUCGUUUACAAUAGAUUGCCAGGCAGACAGAGAUACUCUAGGUAGUGGAGGAAACCUGCAAAAACUACUUGGAGAUGCCGAGAGGGCAGGUGUGUCCUGGGCUUGCUGCCACGUAGGAUGUGGGACACAGGCUGUGGGCCAGACACCAGGAGCAGGUGCAGGUGUGCAGGACUGGGAGCCUCGUGGAGUCCCCACACUGCAGAGCCUUCCUCCCACUGUCUUCCAGAGCUGUGGGAGCCACACCAGUGUGCCAGGGCGUGGCGCAGAGGCCGUCCUGUUACCAGUAAAAACCAGGGAACUCAGAUUUACACCCCGUUUAUUAUGUAAUGGGAGGGAGACGCCUUGCCCAUGGAAAUCCCUCUGGAACUAUGUUAAUUGGGAGGACGUUGUGGGUUGUUCUAGAGAUGAGUGGGGAUGGAGGCAGGGGAAGGGCAGAGGUUUGGGGGCUCAGAUCCAUUCUUCUGGGUUUCCUUAAAUCCUCAGUGAAGAUGACGCGAUCACAGAAUUGUCUUUGUCAAAUGAUUUCACGAGGCGGAGGCAGUAAAAGAGAGGAUUUUUUUUUUUUUUUUUCCAACUGAAUAGAAACGCGUGUGUAGGUAGGAGGUGUGUGUGAGAAAGUUGUCAGCUGAAAUCCAGGCAUGGAGGCCACUGCCUUGGGCUCCUGGAUCUUGGUCCUGCGGCAGGCGGGUCUCUGAGGGCUGAGGAGCUGCGUGGACAGUUGACACAGGCCGGUUGUGUCUCUGAAGAAGUGGUUCCCAGUUAUGUCCACACCCUGGCGCCUGGGGGACUCCCACGCUGAGGGAGCAGGGAAUGGCAGGGGCGUUUCACGCGAGAGUGAGAACGAGAGCACUCUGCCUCUCCCGCCUCCUGGCUCUGGAAAAAGAAUCAGGAACGUGUUCUAGAAAAGGCCGCCUGUGAUUCCUUCUUCAAUUCCUUGGCUACCCCGGGAUCUGGGAUUCCUGGCCCUUCUGUUACGAAUCCCAGGCACUUUCCUGACCAAAGUCCAUAACCACACAUGCAGUCCGGCAGCCACACGUGUGCUGAAAUAGAAAAGGCGAACAAACGUUCUCUGAAGUUCAUAACCUUCGGAUUUUCACACACUGAAUAAUUCCUGGGAGGGGCUCUCAUGAUCCGGUUCUUUUCUUCUUAUGAUUUGUAAAGGGAAAAAUUCUCAGUGGAGAUGGAGAAAGACUGAGAAAUGGUUCCAGGUUAAAUAAAACUAGAGAUGUGACGAGUACAA